CCUACGGGAGGCAGCAGUAAGGAAUAUUGGUCAAUGGGCGAAAGCCUGAACCAGCCACGCCGCGUGAAGGAAGACGGCCCUACGGGUUGUAAACUUCUUUUCUACGGGAAUAAACCUCAGGACGUGUCCUGAGCUGAAGGUACCGUAGGAAUAAGGAUCGGCUAACUCCGUGCCAGCAGCCGCGGUAAUACGGAGGAUCCAAGCGUUAUCCGGAUUUAUUGGGUUUAAAGGGUGCGUAGGUGGGAGAAUAAGUCAGAGGUGAAAGCUAGCAGCUUAACUGUUAAAUUGCCUUUGAUACUGCUUUCCUUGAGUCUAGUUGGCGUUGGCGGAAUGUGACAUGUAGCGGUGAAAUGCGUAGAUAUGUCACAGAACACCGAUCGCGAAGGCAGCUAGCGAAGCUAGUACUGACACUGAUGCACGAAAGCGUGGGGAGCAAACAGGAUUAGAUACCCUGGUAGUCCACGCCGUAAACGAUGAUAACUCGACGUUGGCAAUAUACUGUUCAGCGUCCAAGCGAAAGCGUUAAGUUAUCCACCUGGAGUACGANCGCAGUAGAACGACGAAGAAGUAGACGCGUGAGACGUGCGACGGACGACGACGAGGGAGGAGG
Molecule: ribosomal RNA, 610 nt
Filed under: uncultured bacterium
Lineage: Bacteria
Description: bacterial SSU rRNA
Rfam family: Bacterial small subunit ribosomal RNA (bases 1-536)
Source: RNAcentral